GUGCGCUGGCGGCACGCCUAAUACAUGCAAGUCGAACGGAGUAGCAAUACUUAGUGGCAGACGGGUGAGUAACAUGUGGGUAUCUUCCCUUUGGUGAGGAAUAACACGAGGAAACUUGUGCUAAUACCUCAUAAGUCUUUACGGAGAAAGCUUUAUGCGCCAAUGGAUGAGUCCGCACUUGAUUAGUUUGUUGGUAGGGUAAUGGCCUACCAAGACUGUGAUCAAUAGCUGAUUUGAGAGGAUGAUCAGCCACAUUGGGACUGAGACACGGCCC
Molecule: ribosomal RNA, 274 nt
Filed under: uncultured Alphaproteobacteria bacterium
Lineage: Bacteria; Pseudomonadati; Pseudomonadota; Alphaproteobacteria
Description: partial 16S ribosomal RNA
Rfam family: Bacterial small subunit ribosomal RNA
Source: RNAcentral